ACCUGCCUGGCUCAGUCCGUAGAGCAUGAAACUCUUGAUCUCAAGGUUGUGAGUCUGAGCCCCAUGCUGGGUG
Molecule: transfer RNA, 73 nt
Filed under: Ailuropoda melanoleuca (giant panda)
Lineage: Eukaryota; Metazoa; Chordata; Mammalia; Carnivora; Ursidae
Rfam family: tRNA
About the family: Transfer RNA (tRNA) molecules are approximately 80 nucleotides in length. Their secondary structure includes four short double-helical elements and three loops (D, anti-codon, and T loops). Further hydrogen bonds mediate the characteristic L-shaped molecular structure. tRNAs have two regions of fundamental functional importance: the anti-codon, which is responsible for specific mRNA codon recognition, and the 3' end, to which the tRNAs corresponding amino acid is attached (by aminoacyl-tRNA synthetases). tRNAs cope with the degeneracy of the genetic code in two manners: having more than one tRNA (with a specific anti-codon) for a particular amino acid; and 'wobble' base-pairing, i.e. permitting non-standard base-pairing at the 3rd anti-codon position.
Source: Rfam by way of RNAcentral